GUUGGUGCUGAUUGCGGUGAGGGUCCACCCGUUCCCAUUCCGAACACGGCAGUUAAGCUCACCUGCGCCGAAAAUACUUACCUGGAGACGGGUCGGGAAGAUAGGUAGUGCCAACA
RNAcentral lists this ribosomal RNA (116 nucleotides) under Intestinimonas butyriciproducens. The record is from RNAcentral. Lineage: Bacteria; Bacillati; Bacillota; Clostridia; Eubacteriales.